Molecule: microRNA precursor, 54 nt
Filed under: Triops cancriformis
Lineage: Eukaryota; Metazoa; Arthropoda; Branchiopoda; Notostraca; Triopsidae
Description: microRNA tcf-mir-10332 precursor
Source: miRBase by way of RNAcentral
UAAAGAUUGACAAGCUGGCGUAGCAAAAGUUAUGUCAAUUGUCGAGUGGCUGCC